RNAcentral lists this ribosomal RNA (602 nucleotides) under Micromonospora sp. Ri3Ps_5453. Its description in RNAcentral is "bacterial SSU rRNA". It matches the Rfam family "Bacterial small subunit ribosomal RNA", at positions 412 to 1029 of the family's 1533-position model. Lineage: Bacteria; Bacillati; Actinomycetota; Actinomycetes; Micromonosporales; Micromonosporaceae. The record is from RNAcentral.
GGCCCCGGGUGUAAACCUCUUUCAGCAGGGACGAAGCGCAAGUGACGGUACCUGCAGAAGAAGCACCGGCCAACUACGUGCCAGCAGCCGCGGUAAGACGUAGGGUGCGAGCGUUGUCCGGAUUUAUUGGGCGUAAAGAGCUCGUAGGCGGCUUGUCGCGUCGACCGUGAAAACUUGGGGCUCAACCCCAAGCCUGCGGUCGAUACGGGCAGGCUAGAGUUCGGUAGGGGAGACUGGAAUUCCUGGUGUAGCGGUGAAAUGCGCAGAUAUCAGGAGGAACACCGGUGGCGAAGGCGGGUCUCUGGGCCGAUACUGACGCUGAGGAGCGAAAGCGUGGGGAGCGAACAGGAUUAGAUACCCUGGUAGUCCACGCUGUAAACGUUGGGCGCUAGGUGUGGGGGGCCUCUCCGGUUCUCUGUGCCGCAGCUAACGCAUUAAGCGCCCCGCCUGGGGAGUACGGCCGCAAGGCUAAAACUCAUAGGAAUUGACGGGGGCCCGCACAAGCGGCGGAGCAUGCGGAUUAAUUCGAUGCAACGCGAAGAACCUUACCUGGGUUUGACAUGGCCGCAAAACUUCCAGAGAUGGGAGGUCCUUCGGGGGCG